This 431-nucleotide ribosomal RNA is filed under the name uncultured bacterium. Its description in RNAcentral is "bacterial SSU rRNA". It matches the Rfam family "Bacterial small subunit ribosomal RNA", at positions 29 to 507 of the family's 1533-position model. The record is from RNAcentral. RNAcentral also lists the same sequence under 1 other name.
AACGAACGCUGGCGGCAGGCUUAACACAUGCAAGUCGAACGCCCCGCAAGGGGAGUGGCAGACGGGUGAGUAACGCGUGGGAAUCUACCCAGUUCUACGGAACAACACAGGGAAACUUGUGCUAAUACCGUAUACGCCCCAAGGGGGAAAGAUUUAUCGGAAUUGGAUGAGCCCGCGUUGGAUUAGCUAGUUGGUGAGGUAACGGCUCACCAAGGCGACGAUCCAUAGCUGGUCUGAGAGGAUGAUCAGCCACACUGGGACUGAGACACGGCCCAGACUCCUACGGGAGGCAGCAGUGGGGAAUAUUGGACAAUGGGCGAAAGCCUGAUCCAGCCAUGCCGCGUGAGUGAUGAAGGCCUUAGGGUUGUAAAGCUCUUUCAGUGGGGAAGAUAAUGACGGUACCCACAGAAGAAGCCCCGGCUAACUUCGUG